RNAcentral lists this ribosomal RNA (440 nucleotides) under uncultured bacterium. RNAcentral describes it as "partial 16S ribosomal RNA". It matches the Rfam family "Bacterial small subunit ribosomal RNA", at positions 339 to 795 of the family's 1533-position model. The record is from RNAcentral.
CUACGGGCGGCUCCAGUAGGGAAUAUUGCACCAUGGGCGAAAGCCUGAUGCAGCAACGCCGCGUGAGCGAUGAAGGCCCUCGGGUCGUAAAGCUCUUUUCAAGGGGAAGAGGAAGGACGGUACCCUUGGAAUAAGUCUCGGCUAACUACGUGCCAGCAGCCGCGGUAAAACGUAGGAGGCGAGCGUUAUCCGGAUUUACUGGGCGUAAAGCGCGUGUAGGCGGUACAGCAAGUUGGAUGUGAAAGCUCCUGGCUUAACUGGGAGAGGUCGUUCAAAACUGCUGAACUAGAGUACGGUAGAGGAAAAUGGAAUUCCGGGUGUAGUGGUGAAAUGCGUAGAUAUCCGGAGGAACACCAGAGGCGAAAGCGAUUUUCUGGACCGAAACUGACGCUCAGACGCGAAAGCUAGGGUAGCAAACGGGAUUAGAUACCCCCGUAGUC